Lonchura striata (white-rumped munia) is the source of this 252-nucleotide long non-coding RNA. NCBI's taxonomy places the organism in Eukaryota, Metazoa, Chordata, Aves, Passeriformes, Estrildidae. The record is from Ensembl.
UAAAAAAAAGAAAAAAAGAUGGGAGACCUGAUCUUUCUGGACUACAGCAAUAGAAGAUGAACCUUCCAUUCAUUUAAAGAAAUCCCAAUAUUUUGCAUAGCAGCAUCAAACCUAGAUCCAGACAUGAUUCUCCUGUGAUAUGAAGGCACUCUGAACAAAGGAUGAAAUCACAGUGCUGGUGACAUCGAUAGCAGAAUUGCUGAUUCUGAGGAUACCCUCCUGUUGGUAGAAAUACAACAUGCCAAACCAGAG